Molecule: ribosomal RNA, 497 nt
Filed under: uncultured bacterium
Lineage: Bacteria
Description: partial 16S ribosomal RNA
Rfam family: Bacterial small subunit ribosomal RNA
Source: RNAcentral
GAUGAACGCUGGCGGCGUGCCUAAUACAUGCAAGUCGAGCGAACGGACGAGAAGCUUGCUUCUCUGAUGUUAGCGGCGGACGUGUGAGUAACACGUGGAUCACCUACCUAUCAGACUGGGAUAACUUCGGGAAACCGGAGCUAAUACCGGAUAAUCUUUUGAACCGCAUGGUUCAAAAGUGAAAGACGGUCUUGCUGUCACUUAUAGAUGGAUCCGCGCUGCAUUAGCUAGUUGUUAAGGUAACGGCUUACCAAGGCAACGAUGCAUAGCCGACCUGAGAGGGUGAUCGGCCACACUGGAACUGAGACACGGUCCAGACUCCUACGGGAGGCAGCAGUAGGGAAUCUUCCGCAAUGGGCGAAAGCCUGACGGAGCAACGCCGCGUGAGUGAUGAAGGUCUUCGGAUCGUAAAACUCUGUUAUUAGGGAAGAACAUAUGUGUAAGUAACUGUGCACAUCUUGACGGUACCUAAUCAGAAAGCCACGGCUAACUACGUG